CAUUUCUCCAAUCUCUUGAAGUUAGCUGUAGCCAGAUGACCUGCUUUGGCCAAUAUCUAAAAGCAAAUAUGACUUUGUCACUUCAGAUCAAAGCAUUUCAGAGAUGAUGCACAACUCUACCCCACUCUCCCCUGCCACACCAUCUAAGGAAGCCACAUCUUCCAGAUGAUACUUCUACAAGAUGAUGGAUUCAUUACGUUUCAGCAUAAAGAACAGUUGCCCCAAAGAGUUUUCCAGAUCUGCAGAGAACGUCAACCCAAGAAAAAAAAUUGUACUGAGCCUGUAAAAUUUAGGGAUUAUUUGUUGCCUCAGUAUAAUCUAACCUAUCGUCAAUGACAGCAUUGUCUAGAAGGUUAGAACACUGAAAUGCCAAAGGAGAAUAGCAUGACCCCUAUAAGAAUGGAGCCAUCACAAAUCACCCACAACACUGCAAAGGAAAUGUUCCAACAGCAAGCUCUGAUCCAGCAAGCCUUCCAUGUGAUUACAGAAUUACUGGGCAGACUACACCGAAUCAUCUUAUUUCAGAAGAGAUGAUUAAUCACAAACAGCAAGAGUUAAGCCAAUUACAAGUACUUCCCCCUAAGGUGAUUGCCUUACCAUAACUACAGAUAAAAUCCACCAGCUUCA
RNAcentral lists this long non-coding RNA (627 nucleotides) under Pan troglodytes (chimpanzee). Its description in RNAcentral is "long non-coding RNA NONPTRT012189". The record is from RNAcentral. Lineage: Eukaryota; Metazoa; Chordata; Mammalia; Primates; Hominidae.